UACGGAGGGUGCAAGCGUUAUCCGGAUUCACUGGGUUUAAAGGGUGCGUAGGUGGGAAUGUAAGUCAGUGGUGAAAUCUCCGUGCUUAACAUGGAAACUGCCAUUGAUACUAUGUUUCUUGAAUUUUCUGGAGGUCAGCGGAAUAUGUCAUGUAGCGGUGAAAUGCUUAGAUAUGACAUAGAACACCAAAUUGCGAAGGCAGCUGGACUAACAGGGACAUUGACACUGAGGUACGAAA
This 238-nucleotide ribosomal RNA is filed under the name uncultured bacterium. RNAcentral describes it as "partial 16S ribosomal RNA". It matches the Rfam family "Bacterial small subunit ribosomal RNA", at positions 524 to 758 of the family's 1533-position model. The record is from RNAcentral.